GAGCGGUCACCAAUUUGUAGCAAUACAGAUGAAGUGAUAGCGGCAGACGGGUGAGUAACACGUAGGCAAUCUACCUUUCCGUCCGGGAUAACUAGCCGAAAGGUUAGCUAAUACCUGAUACGACCACUAGGCGGCAUCGCUUGGUGCUCAAAGCAGUAAUGCGCGGAUUGAGGAGCCUGCGGCCCAUUAGCUAGUUGGUGAGGGUAACGGCCCACCAAGGCAACGAUGGGUAGCUGGUCUGAGAGGACGACCAGCCACACUGGGACUGAGACACGGCCCAGACUCCUACGGGAGGCAGCAGUGAGGAAUUUUCCGCAAUGGGCGCAAGCCUGACGGAGCAACGCCGCGUGCAGGAAGACGCUUUUCGGAGUGUAAACUGCUUUUCUGUGGGACGAGCAAGGACGGUACCACAGGAAGAAGCCCCGGCUAACUACGUG
RNAcentral lists this ribosomal RNA (437 nucleotides) under uncultured bacterium. RNAcentral describes it as "bacterial SSU rRNA". It matches the Rfam family "Bacterial small subunit ribosomal RNA", at positions 64 to 507 of the family's 1533-position model. The record is from RNAcentral.